UGCAAGUCGAGCGGUAAGGCCUUUCGGGGUACACGAGCGGCGAACGGGUGAGUAACACGUGGGUGAUCUGCCCUGCACUUCGGGAUAAGCCUGGGAAACUGGGUCUAAUACCGGAUAUGACCUCCUAUCGCAUGGUGGGUGGUGGAAAGAUUUAUCGGUGCAGGAUGGGCCCGCGGCCUAUCAGCUUGUUGGUGGGGUAAUGGCCUACCAAGGCGACGACGGGUAGCCGACCUGAGAGGGUGACCGGCCACACUGGGACUGAGACACGGCCCAGACUCCUACGGGAGGCAGCAGUGGGGAAUAUUGCACAAUGGGCGAAAGCCUGAUGCAGCGACGCCGCGUGAGGGAUGACGGCCUUCGGGUUGUAAACCUCUUUCAGCAGGGACGAAGCGCAAGUGACGGUACCUGCAGAAGAAGCACCGGCUAACUACGUGCCAGCAGCCGCGGUAAUACGUAGGGUGCAAGCGUUGUCCGGAAUUACUGGGCGUAAAGAGUUCGUAGGCGGUUUGUCGCGUCGUUUGUGAAAACCAGCAGCUCAACUGCUGGCUUGCAGGCGAUACGGGCAGACUUGAGUACUGCAGGGGAGACUGGAAUUCCUGGUGUAGCGGUGAAAUGCGCAGAUAUCAGGAGGAACACCGGUGGCGAAGGCGGGUCUCUGGGCAGUAACUGACGCUGAGGAACGAAAGCGUGGGUAGCGAACAGGAUUAGAUACCCUGGUAGUCCACGCCGUAAACGGUGGGCGCUAGGUGUGGGUUCCUUCCACGGAAUCCGUGCCGUAGCUAACGCAUUAAGCGCCCCGCCUGGG
RNAcentral lists this ribosomal RNA (805 nucleotides) under Rhodococcus sp. THI439. Its description in RNAcentral is "bacterial SSU rRNA". It matches the Rfam family "Bacterial small subunit ribosomal RNA", at positions 56 to 877 of the family's 1533-position model. The record is from RNAcentral. Lineage: Bacteria; Bacillati; Actinomycetota; Actinomycetes; Mycobacteriales; Nocardiaceae.